This 409-nucleotide ribosomal RNA is filed under the name Brucella melitensis. RNAcentral describes it as "partial 16S ribosomal RNA". It matches the Rfam family "Bacterial small subunit ribosomal RNA", at positions 355 to 776 of the family's 1533-position model. RNAcentral also lists the same sequence under 1 other name. Lineage: Bacteria; Pseudomonadati; Pseudomonadota; Alphaproteobacteria; Hyphomicrobiales; Brucellaceae. The record is from RNAcentral.
UGGGGAAUAUUGCACAAUGGGCGAAAGCCUGAUGUAGCGACGCCGCGUGAGGGAUGACGGCCUUCGGGUUGUAAACCUCUUUCAGCAGGGACGAAGCGCAAGUGACGGUACCUGCAGAAGAAGCACCGGCUAACUACGUGCCAGCAGCCGCGGUAAUACGUAGGGUGCAAGCGUUGUCCGGAAUUACUGGGCGUAAAGAGUUCGUAGGCGGUUUGUCGCGUCGUUUGUGAAAACCAGCAGCUCAACUGCUGGCUUGCAGGCGAUACGGGCAGACUUGAGUACUGCAGGGGAGACUGGAAUUCCUGGUGUAGCGGUGAAAUGCGCAGAUAUCAGGAGGAACACCGGUGGCGAAGGCGGGUCUCUGGGCAGUAACUGACGCUGAGGAACGAAAGCGUGGGUAGCGAACAGG